Molecule: microRNA, 21 nt
Filed under: Brassica rapa (field mustard)
Lineage: Eukaryota; Viridiplantae; Streptophyta; Magnoliopsida; Brassicales; Brassicaceae
Description: bra-miR9552b-3p
Source: miRBase by way of RNAcentral
UGACCGAGUAGACCGAUAGUC